Molecule: long non-coding RNA, 486 nt
Filed under: Homo sapiens (human)
Lineage: Eukaryota; Metazoa; Chordata; Mammalia; Primates; Hominidae
Description: HSALNT0126062
Source: RNAcentral
GUUGUCCCAGCUGCUCAGGAGGCUGAGGUGGGAGGAUCACUUGAGCCCAGAAGUUGGAGGCUGCAGUGAGCCAUGAUUGUGCCACUGCAUACCAGCCUGGGCAAUAGAACAAGACCCCCCAUCUCAGAAAAAAGGCCAGUGGCAGUUGAAAAUUAUUUAUUGUGUGCCUACUAUGUGCCAGGCACUGUUCCAGGCUCUUGAGUUUCAAGAUAAUCAACAUAGGAAAAAUCCCCUAUGCCUCCAGAACUUAUGUUCUAAUGAAGGGAGACAGACCAAAACCAAGAAUGAUCAAAGUCAGGGGUUAAGAAGUGCAACAGAGAGGCUGGGCAUGAGUCACCGUGCUUGGCCUCAAUGAAGCAUUUUUGAGUGCUAUUUAUAACAUUUAUAUUUAAUAUCGGCAUCCCUGAAAUUAAAAAUAUUUUAUUAAUUUUUUUAUUUUUUUAAUUUUUAAUUAAAUUUUAAUUUAAUUAAAUUUAAAUUAAAUUU